CUUGGUUCGCAGAGCUUUAAUCAAAGGAAGUGAUGGUUGCAUGUUAGGGUUUUGGUUUGCUGAGAUUUAAUCGAUGGAUUUUUAAGGGAUCUGGGUAUUUCUCUGUAAUAGACUGAGAUUUAAGGCUUUGGUGGAAGCUUAUUAAUUUCGAUUGAGUUGUGAG
Long non-coding RNA from Mercurialis annua (annual mercury), 163 nucleotides. RefSeq lists it as uncharacterized. The record is from RefSeq and is a predicted model, not a curated record. The transcript has 3 exons. Lineage: Eukaryota; Viridiplantae; Streptophyta; Magnoliopsida; Malpighiales; Euphorbiaceae.